GUUCCUUGAGGAAGGGCUGUAGGACCUAAGGUGUUUAUCCCUUCACCAUGACCAACGAGGUCCUCAAAUAUAUAUUUCUUCUCACUAGCAUGAAGCAAGGAACUAAAACUCACGGUGGACAAAUCACCCUCAACCCCAUUAUUUGUUCCUCGCCUAUGCUUCUUUUCUUCCUUGCGACGAAGUUUAUCAAUUUGCUUUUCAGACUCG
This 207-nucleotide unclassified non-coding RNA is filed under the name Hevea brasiliensis (rubber tree). Lineage: Eukaryota; Viridiplantae; Streptophyta; Magnoliopsida; Malpighiales; Euphorbiaceae. The record is from RNAcentral.